This 253-nucleotide ribosomal RNA is filed under the name uncultured bacterium. RNAcentral's name for it is "partial 16S ribosomal RNA". It matches the Rfam family "Bacterial small subunit ribosomal RNA", at positions 524 to 776 of the family's 1533-position model. The record is from RNAcentral.
UACGUAGGUGGCAAGCGUUGUCCGGAUUUAUUGGGUUUAAAGGGUGCGUAGGUGGGUUUGUAAGUCAGUGGUGAAAUCUCCAAGCUUAACUUGGAAACUGCCGUUGAUACUAUAAAUCUUGAAUGUUGUGGAGGUGAGCGGAAUAUGUCAUGUAGCGGUGAAAUGCUUAGAUAUGACAUAGAACACCAAUUGCGAAGGCAGCUCACUACACAAAGAUUGACACUGAGGCACGAAAGCGUGGGGAUCAAACAGG